This is a long non-coding RNA of Topomyia yanbarensis, 899 nucleotides long. RefSeq lists it as uncharacterized. The transcript has 3 exons. Lineage: Eukaryota; Metazoa; Arthropoda; Insecta; Diptera; Culicidae. The record is from RefSeq and is a predicted model, not a curated record.
GAUACAUAUACGCACCGAUCACAAAAAGAAAACAAACUCACCUCUUGAUCAAGAGAGCACGAUCUCAUACCGUUCGCAGCGCUCACUCGCCACAAAACGAGUUUCUGUAUACACCGCGUAGUCCGCCGAAGCAACCUUGAACUUCAAUCAGAGGACCACACGAAGCUGAUGUGGCCGCAAACUCGACCCGAGCCAAGGGUAGCGCCAUUAAAACCGUUCAUUUGCUGUCCCAUACAUGAAAAUGUGGCUGAACAUAGACAGGUUCAAUUAGAAUUUCCCCCUACUGCUGCGAUAAAUUUCGAAAAGCGGAAAAGUUCUGCAAUUUGAAUGUUUAGAAAUUGGACAGAAGGCUGUACGUUAUUUGACGCAGGUUUCUUGGAGUAAUUCAUGCGUAAAACGGGACGUUUUCCUGCCUUAUGUUCUGGAAUGGAAAUUUCCAUGUGCAGCGUGGUGGCGAAGAUUAAGUAUCAUUUGAUCUACGCGCCAAUAGGCAAAACCGAAAUAAGUGAUUGUUGUAAGUACGUACAUGUAUUAUAGAAUACAAGUUCAAAAAUGUCAUUCGAAGAUCUGGAAACGGAAAUCUUUGUGGAUGUCAGUAAACCAACAACCUGAGCCAUUAUCAACCAGAACCGUCAUGAUAGUCGUAAAGUCUGAUGAUACAACGCAGCUAGAUUAAGGGGAUCUAAUGUCCGGUAGCCUUCUGUGAUCGAGUCUCAAAUCUAAAGGAUAAAUAAAAGAUUUUUGUUUUGUGAAAACACAAGAAUGUACCGUUUUUUAGUGCAGAUGUUUGAUCAUGAUUCAUAUAUUUUCGGAAGUUGCAGAUUUUAAAAAUUUUACGAUUUUUCUGUAGCCUUUCAAAGGUUUUUGUUCAUCAUCAUCGGAUUAGACACUAAUCUCUG